RNAcentral lists this ribosomal RNA (347 nucleotides) under Compsocus elegans. RNAcentral's name for it is "partial 12S ribosomal RNA". The record is from RNAcentral. Lineage: Eukaryota; Metazoa; Arthropoda; Insecta; Psocodea; Compsocidae.
UUAAUAAAUGUAAAUAGAUUUAUUUUGGGUAGUAUCAGUUAUGUUCUAAAAACUUAAAGAUUUUGGCGGUAUUUUAUGUCUAUAUAGAGGAAUAUGUUUUUAAAUCGAUAUUACCCGAUUAUCUUACUUAAUAGAAAAGUUAUGUAUAUUUCUGUUUAAAAUUUUUUUGUAGAAAAUUUUUUUAAAUUUUUUAGGAUUAUAUUUCAGGUCAAAAUGCAGAUUAUUAUUAAGGGAAAAUGUAUUACAAUAAUGUUAUUUUGGAUUUUUUAUUGAAAUAUAUUAAUGAAAUUGGAUUUAUUUGUAAUUUUAAAUAUUAUAUUAUUAUGAUUUUAGAUUNAAAAUAUGUA